GGUUGUAGCUCAGUGGCAGAGCACUUGCCUAGCAUGUGUGAGGCACUGGGUUUGAUUCUCAGCACUG
Molecule: transfer RNA, 67 nt
Filed under: Marmota monax (woodchuck)
Lineage: Eukaryota; Metazoa; Chordata; Mammalia; Rodentia; Sciuridae
Description: tRNA.Ala
Source: RNAcentral